Molecule: unclassified non-coding RNA, 7158 nt
Filed under: Haliotis rufescens (red abalone)
Lineage: Eukaryota; Metazoa; Mollusca; Gastropoda; Lepetellida; Haliotidae
Description: pHD finger protein 19-like, transcript variant X1
Source: RNAcentral
CACUGCAAGCAUGGCGGGAGAAAUACACAUUUGAUUUUGCUGAAUAUACAAAUCUAUCAACUGAUGUGUUGAACAUCGUUGUUUUGUAGAUGUAUUAACGUGUGGAGAUUUUAUACGGAUAUACCAAAUCUACUCGUGGUGUUUUUCUACUGGACAAUUCUCUGAUUGUCACCACACAGGUGAGAUGAGCUGUAAAGGGAGACCCCCGGGCUCGGUGACGCAGACCGUGGCAGGGAAGUUCCACGUCAGCCUGGAGGUGUUGUGUCGAUGGAGUGACGGCCUCUUCUACCUGGGGAAGAUCAUGAAGAUAGACGAUAAGGUUGGCAAGUGUCUGGUCCACUUUGAAGACAACUCUGAACAUUGGGUGCUUUUCAAGGACAUUCAGCGAGGGGCCAUCAAGGGCGACAUUGCCUGCUGUAUAUGCCGAGAUGAGAGGUCGGAUGUCCCCAAUGAAAUAGUACUGUGUGACAACUGUGGACUAGGCUACCACCAGCAGUGUCACAAUCCCCCAAUAGAUGACGCCAUCCUGCAGCCCAGCGUGGACUUCAUGUGUAGGCUGUGUGUGUUUGCUACCACCGUCAAGAGAGGAGGCGCUCUCAAGAAGGGACCAACAGCAAAGGCUUUCCAAACCAUGAAGCAGACAUUUCCAUACAAUUUGAACAAGUUGACGUGGGAUGCGCAACACAAGACAAACAGCCAGCAGUGCUACUGUUACUGUGGGGGGCCUGGAGACUGGUACCAGCAGAUGUUGCAGUGUUGUCGAUGCAGACAGUGGUUUCAUGAAGCCUGUACACAGUGUCUGGAGGUGCCGCUGUUGUGUGGGGACAGAUUCUACAUGUUCGUGUGCUCCCACUGUAACCAUGGCCCGGAGUACAUCAAGCGGCUGGAUAUGAAAUGGGUGGACAUUGUCCACUUGUCUCUAUUCAACCUGACCGUGGAGGGCACCAAGAAGUACUACGACCUGAUUGACGUCAUCCUGCCCUGGGUGUGUGACAGAUGGGACAACCUGCAGCUGGACAAGUUGAACUGUACGUCAAACAAGGAAGUGGAGAUGGAGGUGCUGCAGUCCCUGCAGACGCACAAGUCCAGGUUCAGUUGGGGUCGUGAGAUCAAGAAGAAGAUAACGCUGUGGGGGUUGAGAGUCCGCGUCCCCCCUCCUGCCCCGACCGUCAUCCUGCCAACCGACGGACACAUCUCGGAUGAGGUCAUGUCUACUCUGCAGAUGAAGGGACGGAAAACAAAAACUUUUGUACCCAUAGAAUGCAGCUCUCCAAUUCCAGUGAAGUAUACCAAGAGGAAAUGCAUGGAUAUCGAUGAUUCCAUCGUCUUUAAGACCAAAAAAGCCAAAAGACUGCUCCUUGAUGCAAGAAAGGUAUGGAACUCCCCUGACAGCCUAAGCCAGAUGUACAGUGGUUACAAUGGAUGCCGUAAACGUUCCUUCAGUCGCCGCUCCAUCAGCCACAAUUCUGAUGACUACGACAGCGGCUUCGAGACAGCAUCCCACUGUACGCUCGAGAGCAUCAUCCCACCACCAAUCAACUUCGAGGGAUCCAACCAUCCUUUCAAGACUGUUGUGGAGCGAAAUGAAGAAAUUGCCAAGCACGAGCGCCUUCGGGCCAGGUUACUGGAUUUAAGUCGGUUAAAUUCUGACUGUGACAAUUCCUCUCAAUACUCGCUGGACUCGUCCCAGUUUUCCGUGGAUGACGAGUCCAUUGAUUUGAUAAGUGAGGACUAUGAAGAAGAAGAGCAGCCGGAGGAGUUGCCCAAGAAAAGGAGCAGACGCAAGAAUCAGAAAUACGACGCCAUGCUCGACGGAUACGCGAGAAAGAUACCCAAAAAGAUAUGGGGUUUACCCCACCCGGUGAAGAACGUGGUCGAUCCACGUGCUAUACAUGCGGUAAGAGCUCAGGAAGUUAAUUUCCAGAGUCUGAAGUCAAGUGUGAAGCAGUAUUUUGGUGCCGCGGACCGUCUGGCUCACGGGGAGAAGUUCCACGUGUUGGCGAGACGAGUCACACCGAGCAGCAAGGUCCAGUACCUCGUGGAGUGGGAGGGGCUUGUGUCAUAGUAGACGGAUACUCUAGGUUCUGGUCACUGACUGAAGCAUCAAGGAAUUGACACUUUGUGCCAUGAUUAGGGUUUUUUUAUAUCGGAGGUCUAGUUGCGAUAAGUUUACGAUUAAUACUACUCAAGUUUUGAAGGGGAUACCAUGACUUCAGGCUUUCUUCCUACUUUAAGCUGACAUGCCGUCAUGUGACUGAAGUUCUUUUCAAUGUGACAUUAACCAAAACUCAAGGAUAGGGAUACCAGGGUUUAACAGGCUUGAAAAAGGCUGUGAAUUUGGAUUCUGCCUUGAAUCAAUUUUUUCAUCAAUGAAGUAACAUCAUCAGAAACAACUGAUCCGUUUCCUGUCCAAUGAUCGGCUGCUUCUGUUAAGAGUUAAAGUUUGGGCAGUUUGAAAAAGCUGAAAUUUUUCAAGCACCCUGGAUAUAAAGAUAUUAAUAAGGGUAGUGGGGUAGCCUAGUGGAGUAAGUGUUUUCUUAUGACGACGAAGACCCAUGUUCUGGUCCCCGUUGCUGUGAUAUGGCUUGAGUAAAGCUGUAAUGAACCGUUUCUGGGCCAAUAAAUUAUUGUUAGUUGUUAAUUGGUGUGCAACAGAACAUAAGGUACACCCUAUCAAAAGUUGAAUAGGUCUGUCCUGUCCUGUCCACACAGUAUGAAACACAACUGGUUCUCAGACAAUGAACUUCUGCCGAGAUAUAACGACCUUGAACAUGUAGGUUCUGGGACAAGGUCAUAGUCAGCAAUCUUUGUUUUCUGAGCAGAACUAAAAUAUCUUUUUGAAUUUUAUCAGAAUUCCUUCCCCCAGCUAUUCAACCUACUGUAUUGGUCGACACAUGGGUUGAUGAUGUGCAGAGAUAAUAUUGAGAAAAGUGGGUGUCUUGAGCAAGACCUAUUAACCUUCGAACCAUGCCUAAUAAUUCAACAUAUGGUACAGGGUGUGCUUUCCCAGGUGCACACUUUCGGCAAUUUGUUUAUGGCCCCAAAGCUGUCUUACUGUCAAUGAAAGGUUUAUGAUACGGAAGUUGGUGAAGUGUCACACCCUAAUGAUGUCAUGCAGUCAGUGACAAGGAAUUUGUCCACCCAUCACUUCGGUAACAAGUUUGUUUUGAAAGAAAACUGGUAGCCCCUCCAUCGAAAACAUCUUAAGCUUGUUGGUUGUUGACAGCUUAUUUUCCGUUGCCUGAGAACCAGUUUGUAAUAAUGUAUUGGGGUUUUUUUUAAAUAUAUUAUUAUUUAUUUUUCAUUUUUUUUAAUACCAUGGGAUCGAUCUUGAGUAAACACAAGUGCAAAUGUACAAAGAAUGAGAAUAACUACUUCUAAAAAAAUCCAAAUAUUUGAGAAAAAACUGAUCACAAGUACUUCUUUUUUUUUUCAACAAAUCGAAAUAGUGACUGGACAGUCUCCUAUCAACCUGAAUGUUCAAUAUUUAGUAUUUAGUUCAAAUCAUGAUUGUGCCAUUUUAUUAUGAGAGAUGUGUGUUGGAAGUGUGCCUGACCAAAUUAAUUGCUACUGCAAUUAUUGUAUCUAUAGGAAUAUAGAGUUAAGAGUUGUGGCUCUAGAUUCUGAAGUAGGGUAGAAAAAUCAGAUUUGAAACAAGCAGAAAGUACUCAAUUUCAUAAGUCUAAACAUUCAGCUAAUUCAAGAAACAAAAUAUUUAUACCAUUUUCCCAUUUCUUGGCUGGAACAAAAGAAUGUGAUGGUUGAAAUUUGUGGUGAAUGAAGAAUGUAAAUUAAUUUCUAUUACCAAAGAAAUUAAUGUUGCCAUUAAAUUUUGUACAUAGUUACCUCCCUUUACUACCAGGAAGCCAAGCUCCUCACAGCAAUAUCCCAUUCACGGAGCUCUCUGUACUAUCACUGCCACAAGUGAAAGCUCCACACUGUGAUGGGUGGCAAAACCAUGCUUGGAGUUGAAUUCGCGAUGGUCUGACAGUUAUGUUUACAAACAAAUGAUGCCUGUCGUGACGCAGAAUACUCUUACUCCUGCUAAAAAUAUUUUCUUUGUCAGUUUGAAUUUCUGUUUUAUUAGAACUAUCAUGUAAUUGGAAUAGUAAGAAUGUAAGGAGGAAGUUCGUUGAUUUUUCCAUCAAACAAACAAGAAGGUAAAUUCAUCGAGGAAAUAUGGUCAGUCGUAAACCUUUUCAGAAUUACCUGUGAUGGCAUUAUCAAAGACAUAAACAAAAGUAUGAACGUUACUACAUUUGGGGUUAGAGGGCAGAUUACAAGGUUCUUGUAAUGGCCGCACACUCACUGGCUGCAGCAAUGUUACCAAGAGUAACGAAGGUGUCACGUGCUGGGUAGGAGCUUGCCAGGUAACAAUGAGUGGAACAACGCGGUGGAAUGUGGAACACAAAAGUUCUUCAAAGACUUGCUUUCAAAUUAACCUGAAAUUUGUAACAGGUUGACAUUGAAAAACACUUUAGCGAGAAGCUCUUCCAUUUAGCCAUCAUUAGCAGAAGAGGUACAGUGUUUAUGUGGAGGUGUUUGUGUCAGUCAUAUGUAAAUAUGUAUAUACAUAUACAGAAAAUAUUACCCAUUUACAAAUAAAAAGAUUGAUUGUAUCAUAAUGAAAGUAACCAGUCACACUGAAGCAUCUUCAAACAAAGCCCCGACCAAUUUUCUUGUCUUAGAGAUCUGACCAAUUUUCUGUUUAAAAAAAAUAAAUAAAAAAAUAAAAAAUUAUAAUUCACAAUCGACACUAAAAUAUUGAAUCAUUUCUCAGUGGAAGGGACCAACUCUUCCUAAUUGUCACUUGCCAUCAGCAGAAGUGUAAAUAAUUUCAUUGGAUGCUGCAUCGCUGCCAAUCCAAUCACUUCAUUUUUCCAUUUCUGAAAAUGGCACUUUAUCGAGGCCGGAUGUGAAGUUAUUGUUGGUGUUUCUUGUAUGGUUUGGGGCGGUCAGGUAGCCUGGUGGUUAAAGCGUUCGCUCGUCACGCAGAAGACCUGGGUUCGAUUCCCGACAUGGGUACAAUGUGUGAAGCCCAUUUCUGGUGUCCCCCACCGUGAUAUUGCUGGAAUAUUGCUAAAAGCGGCGUAAAACCAUACUCACUCACUCACUCACUCUUGUAUGGUUUUGUAAAUGUCGACUAAGUGCUUCAGCUCACAGGGAAAAAAACCAGAACAGCUUUCUGAUGAAGAAAAUAGCUGAAACGAAGCUGACUGACACAGUUGGUAAUUUGUCUUUGAAUUUCAUUUCAACAUGCUGUGCCGGAUCUUCUUGGAGUAGCAGGAGUUGUUUUCUGUGCAGUUACCCCAUAAAUCAGGAAAUAUUUAACAUUUGCAAAGGUUUUUUUUCCCCUCCUGCAUCCAUCCUUCAUGGCUUCAUAAACCUGUAAUACAUGUACAAACAUGUCUUUAUAUUCAUCUAGACUUCUUUUCUUUUUCUCUUCUUUUUCCUUUCCAUCCUGCCAAUUUGGUCCAAAGAAUCUGUAAUACAAGAAAACAUUGGUCUUGCCUAAUUAGUGAAUGCAAAUUCGCCUUGUCAAACCCUUCCCAGUGAGAGAAUGAAUGCAAGGGGGUGCACUCAGCCACGAGACAGUCUCACCACCCCAUUCUCACGUUAGCCGGCUCUUACAAUAAGCCUGAGAUGCGGGGAUGCCAAGGAAUCCUCACAGGAUCUGUUCCACAGAGCAACCUUAGUGCUAUCAAUAAAAAAAAGGAAGUGGCGUAGCCUAAUGGUUAAAUUGUUGGCUUGUCACACCAAAAACCCAGGUUUGAAUCCAAAAAUUGUGUCAAGCCAGUUUUUGGUGUCGCCUGACAUCCUAUGGCUGGAAUAUGGCUAAACGCGGCCUAAUACCAAACUCGCUCACUCCUCUCUACUUAACGUGUGCAACAUUAUAGGGACUCACCAUUUUAUGUUUUGGGAAGGGGAGGGAAUGUGUUGCCAGAACUUUUCUGGGGUGGCCCAGUGGGGACUGCAAGUUAUGGGCCAUGUUCCACAAAGUGAUCUCAGCACUAUGACUAUCAUAAGUCUAUGUUAUAGUAUGGGAGUUCCCAUUGUAAUGCUAAGAUCCCUUUGUGGAACGCCUUUUCCUUUGCUAGAAACCUAUAAUCAUGGGUUUGAAUUCCUGGUUUGGCGUGAUUAUGUUUCUAGAUUUGUUAGCACCAUAUUUAUGAAUAAGUGUCCCCAACUGGUAAACAUCAACAUGCAUCAGUCUGGGCUUUUCUCCCAGAUCAAGUGGACACGCCGUGAUAUAACUGAAAUACUGUUCAAAGCGGCCAAAAACACACAACACUAUUGGAUUCCCAAAAGGGUUUUGGCUCUUGGUUACACGAUUUGCAUGUUAACAACUUAUUUUUACCAAUUCACACUCUGAACCAAGCACAAGAAUGAAGGACGGGUGACCAUUUCUUCCUUGGAGCAAGGCUCUGAAUAAGCUGAAGAUGCCAGAAUUCUUGAACAGUUUUCUUUGAUUGACAAACUGGAAGUGUGACAUAAAUUGUAGCCACAAUGCUCAGUAAAUGGUAACAAUGAAUACUGUUAUGAGGACAAUGUAAGAGGAGUCAAUGUGUGUGAAUUGUAACAAAUGUUAUAUUUGGGAUAACACUUUCUGAGUAUAUUGUUUAUAUACUACUCAAAAUAAGUUCAAGAACACCUGAUGUUUUUUACAUAGAUAUAGUUAGUCUGUCACUUCUUGGUCAAUAUGGGGUCGGUCGGGUAGCCUAUUGGUUAAAGCGUUCGCUCGUCACGCAGGAGACCCGGGUUCGAUUCCUGACAUGGGUACAAUGUGUGAAGCCCAUUUCUGGUGUCCCCCGCCGUGAUAUUGCUGGAAUAUUGCUAAAAGCGGCGUAAAACCAUACUCACUCACUCACUUGGUCAAUAUGACAUGAUAUCAUUGAAUCAACCAAGUCACAGAGCCUGACAGAUUAACUAUAGCUAGUAUGAAAAAAUCAGGUAUUCUUUAACUCCUCGGAGGUGUAUACAUAAUGCAACAGUCCUUAUUAGUUAGAAUAGGUCCACAGACUCCAGAGAUGAGCACCGAAUGUUAAGAAAUUAAAUCUGUGAAAUGAAAAGCAUGUUGGUCUUUCAUACCAUGUUUUAAUGUGUGAGUGUGUAUUUAUGAUAUGUUUUAUCAAUUUUAUAUUAAACUAACUUUUAAGA